This 254-nucleotide ribosomal RNA is filed under the name uncultured bacterium. Its description in RNAcentral is "partial 16S ribosomal RNA". It matches the Rfam family "Bacterial small subunit ribosomal RNA", at positions 524 to 776 of the family's 1533-position model. The record is from RNAcentral.
CACGUAGAGUGCGAGCGUUGUCCGGAAUUAUUGGGCGUAAAGAGCUCGUAGGCGGUGUGUCGCGUCGGCCGUGAAAACCUGCAGCUUAACUGUGGGCUUGCGGUCGAUACGGGCAUCACUGGAGUUCGGCAGGGGAGACUGGAAUUCCUGGUGUAGCGGUGAAAUGCGCAGAUAUCAGGAGGAACACCGGUGGCGAAGGCGGAUCUCUGGGCCUUACCUGACGCUGAGGCGCGAAAGCUAGGGGAGCGAACAGG